This is a long non-coding RNA of Lacerta agilis (Sand lizard), 535 nucleotides long. RefSeq lists it as uncharacterized. The transcript is spliced from 2 exons. The record is from RefSeq and is a predicted model, not a curated record. NCBI's taxonomy places the organism in Eukaryota, Metazoa, Chordata, Lepidosauria, Squamata, Lacertidae.
CCACUUUGUAAUGAAGCCAAGUUUUUUCUGCCUGUGCAACUUUAUGAAGCAUAAGAAUCUGACAUUUCAAGGGUUUCAUAGCUUCUGCUUAAAGGAUUUUCUGCGCCAGAAGAAUAUACGCCACAAAGGGGUUUCUACAGCAGCUCCCAAAAUGCAUUAAAAGAAAUACAAAAUUCUAAACUAUCCAUCAAAGCCCACUUUUCAGAUCUCAUUUUUCCCAAGCUCGGGGAAGCACAUCGGAAUGAAAACCACUAACAACUUAUAGUAAAUCCUGUGCAAUUCACGUUUUGAAUGGGGUAACUCCAUAAUCUUCUGCAGGUUAAAGGCUUCACUUUUGAGCAUUUGAUCCCUAUCUAGUAAUUGGAACAAGAUUUUAUCUGAACACGUUCAAGUGGAUAUAAAAUGUUUCAUUUUGUGGCCUUUAUAAAUGGAAUCAUACCAGUUUCAGAAGAAUUUCUGUUCUAGUGCAUUGUUUGGACAUGUUUUUAUUGCUUAUUAAAACAUCUGUUUGAUACCGUACUUAAGCAAACAAAAA